RNAcentral lists this unclassified non-coding RNA (143 nucleotides) under uncultured Leotiomycetes. RNAcentral's name for it is "sequence contains ITS2". Lineage: Eukaryota; Fungi; Ascomycota; Leotiomycetes. The record is from RNAcentral.
CAACCCUCAAGCUCAGCUUGGUGUUGGGCCCCGCCCGUCGCGGCCGGCCCCAAAUCCAGUGGCGGUGCCGUUGGGCCCAGAGCGCAGUAGCAUCUCUCGCUCCUGGGUCCCGGCGGUGGCCUGCCAGAACGCCCACUCUCCAU